RNAcentral lists this ribosomal RNA (251 nucleotides) under uncultured Pseudomonadota bacterium. RNAcentral's name for it is "uncultured proteobacterium partial 16S ribosomal RNA". It matches the Rfam family "Bacterial small subunit ribosomal RNA", at positions 62 to 339 of the family's 1533-position model. The record is from RNAcentral. Lineage: Bacteria; Pseudomonadati; Pseudomonadota.
UCGAACGAAGGCUUCGGCCUUAGUGGCGGACGGGUGAGUAACGCGUGGGAAUCUACCUUACGGCGGGGAAUAACAGUUGGAAACGACUGCUAAUACCGCAUACGCCCUUCGGGGGAAAGGCUUCGGCCACCGUUUGAGGAUCCCGCGUCCGAUUAGCUAGUUGGUAGGGUAACGGCCUACCAAGGCGACGAUCGGUAGCUGGUCUGAGAGGAUGAUCAGCCACACUGGGACUGAGACACGGCCCAGACUCC